GAUGAACGCUGGCGGCGUGCCUAAUACAUGCAAGUCGAGCGAACGGACGAGAAGCUUGCUUCUCUGAUGUUAGCGGCGGACGGGUGAGUAACACGUGGAUAACCUACCUAUAAGACUGGGAUAACUUCGGGAAACCGGAGCUAAUACCGGAUAAUAUUUUGAACCGCAUGGUUCAAAAGUGAAAGACGGUCUUGCUGUCACUUAUAGAUGGAUCCGCGCUGGAUUAGCUAGUUGGUAAGGUAACGGCUUACCAAGGCGACGAUGCGUUGACGACCUGAGAGGGGGAUCCGGCACAAUGGAACCGAGACCAGGUCCAGACCCCCAAGGGAGGCAGCAGGGGGGAAUAUUUGACAAUGGGGGAAAGGCUUAACCAGCCAUGGCGCGGGUGUGAAGAAGGGCUUCGGAUUGUAAAACACUUUUAAUUGGGAGGAAGGGCAGUUAGUUAAUACCUUGCUGUUUUGACGGUACCAACAGAAGAAGCACCGGCUAACUUCGUG
RNAcentral lists this ribosomal RNA (497 nucleotides) under uncultured bacterium. RNAcentral describes it as "partial 16S ribosomal RNA". It matches the Rfam family "Bacterial small subunit ribosomal RNA", at positions 28 to 507 of the family's 1533-position model. The record is from RNAcentral.